GACGAACGCUGGCGGCGUGCUUAACACAUGCAAGUCGAACGGUAAGGCCCUUUCGGGGGUACACGAGUGGCGAACGGGUGAGUAACACGUGGGUGAUCUGCCCUGCACUUUGGGAUAAGCCUGGGAAACUGGGUCUAAUACCGGAUAGGACUACGCGAUGCAUGUCGUGUGGUGGAAAGCUUUUGCGGUGUGGGAUGGGCCCGCGGCCUAUCAGCUUGUUGGUGGGGUGAUGGCCUACCAAGGCGACGACGGGUAGCCGGCCUGAGAGGGUGUCCGGCCACACUGGGACUGAGAUACGGGCCAGAAUCCUACGGGAGGCAGCAGUGGGGAAUAUUGCACAAUGGGCGCAAGCCUGAUGCAGCGAAGCCGCGUGGGGGAUGACGGCCUUCGGGUUGUAAACCCCUUUCAGCACAGACGAAGCGUAAGUGACGGUAUGUGCAGAAGAAGCACCGGCCAACUACGUG
Molecule: ribosomal RNA, 464 nt
Filed under: uncultured bacterium
Lineage: Bacteria
Description: partial 16S ribosomal RNA
Rfam family: Bacterial small subunit ribosomal RNA
Source: RNAcentral